Molecule: non-coding RNA, 2482 nt
Organism: Triticum urartu
Lineage: Eukaryota; Viridiplantae; Streptophyta; Magnoliopsida; Poales; Poaceae
Source: RefSeq, a predicted model, not a curated record
CGUGGUUGUUUCGCAAAAAGCCCCCUCGGUUUACAGGAAAUCAACCCGCAGUCCCUGUUUUAGUGGCACCCAGAGAAAACGUUUCACUUUUACAAAAAAAGACCUAUAGGCAUUUCAAUUCAGUCCGCAGUCCUUUCCUUCCUCUUAUCCACUCUGCGCCGGCGGCUACGCCCAUUCCGUCGUGCGCCGGCGGCCGCCGUGCCUCGCGCGGGAGGAUGGAGUGCGAUCGCCGGGAGGAUGGACGGCGCGGAGAGGCGCGCUCGCGCCCGAGCUCCUGUGCCCGCGCCUCGCGCCUCCUUGCACCGCUCCGGCGGCCACUCGCCACACGCUGUCGCCGGCGACCAUAAACAGCGACCGUCGCACCUCUACGCGCGCUACCCCGAGGCCCCAGCCACGCCACGCCGCCGUCUUCCGCAACCCCGGCCUCCUCCUCGACCUCGCCUCUCCGUGCGAACAAACGGCGUUGCCGGCGGCGGCCACGGCCACCGUGCUUGAGCUGACGGGCGCCGACCGCACGGGGCUCAUCUCCGAGGUGUUCGCCGUGCUGGUAUACCUGCGGGACGAGGAUGUGGCCUCCGCCGGUGUGGAGCGCAUCGAGGCCCGCCUCGCCCCCCUCCUCCGCGGAGACUCGGAAGCCAGCGGCGGCGCCGUGGCUGCCGUCCCCGCCGGCUCCAUCCCGCACGCUGACCGGCGUCUCCACCAGCUCAUGUAUGCCAGCGGCGACUAGGAGCGCGCAUUGCCAGCUCCCUCGGUGUCUGUCGAGAGCUGGGCCGAGCGCGGGUACUCGGUCUUCAACAUCCAUUCCACAAUCAUCUCUUGUACAGUGGCUGAGGAAGAUCCAGGAAAGCAAGAGCUGCGCAAGAGGGGGCAGGAUCAGGAAGAAGCACGGUGAUGGAACCUUAGCAGUAGACCAAAUGCAGACAUGUACAUAAGGGGAUCCGAUUACGAUUAGAUGAUGCAGACCGUGUCCUUGUCCAACAAAACUCAAUCGAGUGUUUGACCCGGAUUGUUCUUUUUUGCUAUAAGAAGGAAGAGUACUACGCUGGAAUCUCCAUCACGUUAAUUGUCGACGAAACAUCCAAUGUUUCCGCCGAGUUCGCAGCAGGAAGGAGCUCAGAGUUCGCCAAUGUCCAGAGUUUCAGAUACGACAGUCAAGAGCGUCACAGGAGGAAGAAGCUCCGAGUUCGCCGGAGGUACACAAACAUCCGUCCAGCACUCCAAUGUCGCCUACGGAGUCUACACCAGAGGUAUACUUCCACUUGACCCCUGUUAACAAGCGCCGUGAGCAGAGUAGACACCGGCCAGGUCCAACAUUUGAUUCAGCCAUGUAUGCACAGAGCGUCAAUCAUCAUCCAAAUCCAUACAUUGCGUUAAUUUUCAGACCCUCUAGGUGAUGCUUUUUCAUGUCUAGAAUUGACCCUCGAGGUGAUGCUUUUUCAUGUGUAGAAUUCAGCAUGUUAGGCAAGAGUGUUAAUCAAUCUACUAUAAUAUCAGACAUGAGAGACCAGUCCAAUUUUUCUUCACUACCUCGGAAUAAGGAGCUCAAGUCUGUAGUAGCAGGACUCAUAAGAAAAUGCAUUGUCAGAUAUAUGUAGUAGAAUCUGAAUCUGUUGAAUCUGAAUCUGUUAAUCUGUUGAAAGAUAAGGAAUCUACUUGAAAGAUAAUGACAAGAGAGACCAGUCCAAUUUUUCUUGUAAAGUGCAUGCUGUUUAAACUUUUAAAUGUUCAUGUCUACCUCUAUUUCUUUCUCAUUGAGUUUUGGUACAUUUGGUAUUGUUCGAUAUGCUAUCUAAUAUAGAGUGUGUGGCCCCACUUCAGUUGUUCAAUUAUUUUUCACUUAGCAGCGGGUGAUUGAUGGACCAAUUAUGCGAGCAAUGUCCUUAAUUUCAGAUAAGAUGCAAAACAGAUAACAUGGAUGAGCUUGAAUAACUGCCGAUAGUGUAGCUUUCUGCUGGACCAUAUAUUCUGCCCGGAGAAGUUUCAGUGACCAAUGGAAGCUUUGGUAUAUUUUUUUCAAGCAAAAGUAAUCGUCUAUUACCCAUGUCAGGUUUCGACUCAAAUUGUGGUGCUUCUGUUGGCAUUCCUUAUCUUUUAUGCCUGAUGUGAGUCUUAGUGCUAAUAAGAACUAUUUUUUCCAAACGGUAAAUCUACCUUUCCCCAUCAUGUGACUUAAAGCUAAUCUAUUCAUGGUUAGUUUUCCUUCCUGUACAAAGGUCAUCUGUUCCGGUACACUUUUUCUUCGCUUUCUUUUACUGUAACAUAGACCAUGCUCACAUCGUCGCAAAUUGUAAACAGAGACGGAAACGUGCAUACAGAUCUCUCAAGCAUGCAAUAUUUUUCCAGGGUGACAAAUUUUUACAUGGCUUUAUAUCUGAAGACACCUUUUGGUUGACUCUAUUUGUUGUAUAUAAGUUCUAUCCAAAUGUACCUUUGGAUGCUUAUACCAUAACUGAUGGCCCUGGAUAAGUUAUAUCUGAAGAUA